GCAAUGGUGAUAUAGUGGUGAGCAUAGCUGUCUUCCAAACAAUUGGCCUGGAUUCGAUUCCUGGCCAUCGCA
This 72-nucleotide transfer RNA is filed under the name Salmo salar (Atlantic salmon). It matches the Rfam family "tRNA". From Rfam's summary of the family: Transfer RNA (tRNA) molecules are approximately 80 nucleotides in length. Their secondary structure includes four short double-helical elements and three loops (D, anti-codon, and T loops). Lineage: Eukaryota; Metazoa; Chordata; Actinopteri; Salmoniformes; Salmonidae. The record is from Rfam by way of RNAcentral.